This 1564-nucleotide long non-coding RNA is filed under the name Salmo salar (Atlantic salmon). Its description in RNAcentral is "lncRNA (ENSSSAG00000105277.1)". The record is from RNAcentral. Lineage: Eukaryota; Metazoa; Chordata; Actinopteri; Salmoniformes; Salmonidae.
AACCCCGCCCUCCAUCUCUAACCCCUCCCCUGUACCAUGUCACCCUUAGUGGGCCACCAGCAGUUUGCAUGUAAAUGAUGAUCAGAAAAUAGAUCCGUAAAACAUGUUAUUUAUCAGUAGAGAGGAGCUUCCUGUUUCGAUCUCACUAUGGGAACAGAAGAGACUUUUUUGAUUGGAUGAUGAGACAACAUUUGUUUACUAGGGAAGUUAAACAGCCUGGCGUCCGUCUGACUGACCCCCCCCCCCCAGGUCAACUAGUUUGACCCCUGAACUUUAGGCGUCUCCAGCUAUAGAAUCUCCUGUCUUAUUUAUAAUUGAUUUAGAGACGGGUGCUUUUCUCUAUUACCACAGUAGUCAAUACGAUUUGGUAGAAAAUAUUUAUAAUAUUUGAAGAGUUUUGGACAGAUGAAUUUGGAUCCUCAGAUAUUUGUGUGUGUUUUUUUUUAAUGAGGAAUCGUUUUUUGGACUAUUUGCAUGUUGCUGAGAAAAAUAUAUAUAUUUAAAAAUAUAUUUAAAAAUAUAUUUAAAAAAUGUUUUUUUUUUUUUUUUACAUUCUUUUGAUAAAUUAAAAUUUCCAGAUGUUUCCGAUGUUUGUAGACUGUCUAACUAAAUGUACCGGGCUCAGUUUGGUUUGUACGAGGGCUGUAAUACCGAUUUAAACAUGAUUUAUUAUUGUCCGAUAUAAAAUGUGCUGGUUGGCUAGGUGUGUAUCUACUGAGACCGUUGGUCCGAUACUGUCCAAGCUGUCACAGAGAGGGGAACCAUGGAAACAGGUUCUGGGUGCUGUUUAUCUCAGAAUACCCAGGAGUCAGAUGUUGAGCGCUUGACUUUCCUCCCGUUGCUCCCCACCUGAUCAAUCCACUCGUUACCAAAGCCUACAAGUUAUUUCCAGAGAACCUGAUGUAUAUUAUAACUCAGUAUGAACCCUAAUAAAGCUUUAUACCUGAUGGAUGAUGAUGAUGAUGGAUCUCUGGCAUUGAGGUGAAUCUGUUGCUCCGAUCUGAUAAAAGACUCAUUAUAAAAGAGACUGAGUGUUUUUAAAAACCGCACCAGCAUGCUUCAGGACGUUCUAGAAUCAGGCUUCAGGAUGUUCUAGAACCAGGCUUGAGGAUGUUGUAGAACCAGGCUUCAGGAUGUUCUAGAACCAGACUUCAGGAUGUUGUAGAACCAGGCUUCAGGACGUUCUAGAACCAGGCUUCAGGAUGUUGUAGAACCAGGCUUCAGGACGUUCUAGAACCAGGCUUCAGGAUGUUCUAGAACCAGGCUUCAGGAAGUUCUAGAACCAGGCUUCAGGAAGUUCUAGAACCAGGCUUCAGGACGUUCUAGAACCAGGCUUCAGGACGUUUAAGCUGUGAUGGAACCUGACCUUCAAUCUAUCAGAAACCUUGUCGUUUUAACUCUUGAGAGACUGGAGGAAGAGGAGGAGGAGGAGGAAGAGGAGGAAGAGAAGGGUGUGUUUUCUAGCUGUCAAUAGACAAGCUAACUGUCUGCAAUAAUUUCCCUCUGAUGCUCCCAGAACUGAGAGAGAGGGUUUCCAAGGCUGGUAUACAACUGUACUUUUGAC